This 458-nucleotide ribosomal RNA is filed under the name uncultured bacterium. Its description in RNAcentral is "bacterial SSU rRNA". It matches the Rfam family "Bacterial small subunit ribosomal RNA", at positions 29 to 490 of the family's 1533-position model. The record is from RNAcentral.
AGCGAACGUUUGCGGCGGGCCUAACACAUGCAAGUCGAACGCACUAGCAAUAGUGAGUGGCGCACGGGUGCGUAACACGUGGGUAAUCAACCCUUCAGCCUGGGAUAACGACUCGAAAGGGUCGCUAAUACCGGAUACGGCGCGAGAGGCUUCGGCUUCUCACGAGAAAGCCACGCAAGGGGCACUGAAGGACGAGCCUGCGGCCCAUCAGCUAGUUGGUGAGGUAAGAGCUCACCAAGGCUAAGACGGGUAGCUGGUCUGAGAGGAUGAUCAGCCACACUGGAACUGAGACACGGUCCAGACUCCUACGGGAGGCAGCAGUGGGGAAUAUUGCGCAAUGGGCGAAAGCCUGACGCAGCCACGCCGCGUGAGCGAUGAAGGCCUCGGUCGUAAGACUCUGUGGGAGGAGACGAAGAAGACCUGUGAGAGCAGGCCUGACGGUAGUCUCCUUAGUCAAG